GGCGUCUCAGGUGCCAGCCGCCGCGGUAAUACCCGCAGCCCAAGUGGUGGUCGAUAUUAUUGAGUCUAAAACGUUCGUAGCCGGUUCAAUAAAUCUCUGGGUAAAUCGGAGGCUUAACCUUCCGAAUUCCGGAGAGACUGUUGAACUUGGGACCGGGAGAGGCAAGAGGUACUUCUGGGGUAGGGGUAAAAAUCCUGUAAUCCUAGAAGGACCACCGGUGGCGAAGGCGUCUUGCUAGAACGGAUCCGACGGUGAGGGACGAAGCCCUGGGUCGCAAACGGGAUUAGAUACCCCGGUAGUCCAGGGUGUAAACGCUGCAGACUUGGUGUUGGGAACCCUUCGGGGGGUGCUCAGUGCCGGAGAGAAGUUGUUAAGUCUGCUACUUGGGGGGUACGUCCGCAAGGAUGAAACUUAAAGGAAUUGGCGGGGGAGCACCGCAACGGGAGGAAGCGUGCGGUUUAAUUGGAUUCAACGCCGAAAAACUCACCAGCAGCGGCUGUUACAUGAAAGUCAGGUUGAUGACCUUACUAGAUUUUCAGAGAAGUGGUGCAUGG
RNAcentral lists this ribosomal RNA (554 nucleotides) under uncultured archaeon. Its description in RNAcentral is "bacterial SSU rRNA". It matches the Rfam family "Archaeal small subunit ribosomal RNA", at positions 445 to 997 of the family's 1478-position model. The record is from RNAcentral.